GUUGGGUAGGGGAGCGUUCUGUAAGCCUGUGAAGGUGUGCUGUGAGGCAUGCUGGAGGUAUCAGAAGUGCGAAUGCUGACAUAAGUAACGAUAAUGCGGGUGAAAAACCCGCACGCCGGAAGACCAAGGGUUCCUGUCCAACGUUAAUCGGGGCAGGGUGAGUCGACCCCUAAGGCGAGGCAGAAAUGCGUAGUCGAUGGGAAACGGGUUAAUAUUCCCGUACUGGUGAUAAUUGCGAUGGGGGGACGGAGAAGGCUAGGCUAUCCGGGCGACGGUUGUCCCGGUUUAAGGAUGUAGGCAGGUGAAUUAGGCAAAUCCGGUUCACUAUAUGCUGAGGUCCGAUGACGAGUCACUACGGUGAUGAAGUAGCUCAUGCCCCGCUUCCAGGAAAAGCCUCUAAGCUCUAGAUUAUCAUUAAUCGUACCCCAAACCGACACAGGUGGUCAGGUAGAGAAUACUCAGGCGCUUGAGAGAACUCGGGUGAAGGAACUAGGCAAAAUGGUGCCGUAACUUCGGGAGAAGGCACGCUGGCAUUAGGUGAAGUGAUUUACUCAUGGAGCUGAAGCCAGUCGCAGAUACCAGCUGGCUGCAACUGUUUAUUAAAAACACAGCACUGUGCAAACACGAAAGUGGACGUAUACGGUGUGACGCCUGCCCGGUGCUGGAAGGUUAAUUGAUGGGGUUAUCCGUAAGGAGAAGCUCUUGAUCGAAGCCCCAGUAAACGGCGGCCGUAACUAUAACGGUCCUAAGGUAGCGAAAUUCCUUGUCGGGUAAGUUCCGACCUGCACGAAUGGCGUAAUGAUGGCCAGGCUGUCUCCACCCGAGACUCAGUGAAAUUGAACUCGCUGUGAAGAUGCAGUGUACCCGCGGCAAGACGGAAAGACCCCGUGAACCUUUACUAUAGCUUGACACUGAACAUUGAGCCUUGAUGUGUAGGAUAGGUGGGAGGCUU
This 952-nucleotide ribosomal RNA is filed under the name Providencia rettgeri. Its description in RNAcentral is "partial 23S ribosomal RNA". It matches the Rfam family "Bacterial large subunit ribosomal RNA", at positions 1223 to 2157 of the family's 2925-position model. RNAcentral also lists the same sequence under 2 other names. The record is from RNAcentral. Lineage: Bacteria; Pseudomonadati; Pseudomonadota; Gammaproteobacteria; Enterobacterales; Morganellaceae.